This 433-nucleotide ribosomal RNA is filed under the name uncultured bacterium. RNAcentral describes it as "partial 16S ribosomal RNA". It matches the Rfam family "Bacterial small subunit ribosomal RNA", at positions 29 to 507 of the family's 1533-position model. The record is from RNAcentral.
AACGAACGCUGGCGGCAGGCCUAACACAUGCAAGUCGAGCGAGGACUUCGGUUCUAGCGUCGUACGGGUGAGUAACGCGUGGGAAUGUUCCCUUCUCUACGGCCUAGCCCUGGGAAACUGGUAGUAAUACCGUAUACGCCCUAUUGCGGAAGGAUUUAUCGGACAAGGAGGAGCGCGCGUUGGAUUCGGUAGUUGUUUGGGUAAUGGCCUACCAGGCCGACGAUCCAUAGCUGGUUUGAGAGAAUGGUCACCGACACUGGGACUAGGACACGGCCCAGAAUCCUACGGGAAGGAGGAGAGGGGAAUGUUAGAAAACGGGGGGAAUGAUGAACGAGUCAGGACGGGUGAGUGAUGAAGGCAGUAAGGAAGUAAAGCUCAAUCAGCUGGGAAGAUAAUGACGGUACCAGAAGAAGAAGCCACGGCUAACUACGUG